UGCAGAAUCCCGUGAACCAUCGAGUCUUUGAACGCAAGUUGCGCCCGAAGCCAUUAGGCGGAGGGCACGUCUGCCUGGGCGUCACGC
RNAcentral lists this ribosomal RNA (87 nucleotides) under Sanicula canadensis. RNAcentral's name for it is "partial 5.8S ribosomal RNA". It matches the Rfam family "5.8S ribosomal RNA", at positions 73 to 154 of the family's 154-position model. Rfam says of the family: 5.8S ribosomal RNA (5.8S rRNA) is a component of the large subunit of the eukaryotic ribosome. It is transcribed by RNA polymerase I as part of the 45S precursor that also contains 18S and 28S rRNA. Functionally, it is thought that 5.8S rRNA may be involved in ribosome translocation. Lineage: Eukaryota; Viridiplantae; Streptophyta; Magnoliopsida; Apiales; Apiaceae. The record is from RNAcentral. RNAcentral also lists the same sequence under 1 other name.